RNAcentral lists this small nuclear RNA (99 nucleotides) under Moschus moschiferus (Siberian musk deer). The record is from RNAcentral. Lineage: Eukaryota; Metazoa; Chordata; Mammalia; Artiodactyla; Moschidae.
GUGCUCACUUCAGUGUCACAUAUACUUAACUUGAAAUAAUGCAGAGACGAUUAGCAUGGCCCCUGCACAAGGAUGACUUGUAAAGCAUUCUGUAGUUUU